Molecule: non-coding RNA, 1071 nt
Organism: Dermacentor andersoni
Lineage: Eukaryota; Metazoa; Arthropoda; Arachnida; Ixodida; Ixodidae
Source: RefSeq, a predicted model, not a curated record
CCAUACUGCUGCACCAUCUGUUCCAAGUCCUUUGCGCUGGCUACUCACUUGAAGAGACAUGUGAAAACAAAGCACCAUGACAGUACUGAGAACCUACGUCACCCAAUUGGGCAUGGUGUGGAAGUCGCAAGAUCACCACAAUGAAAAACAGGGAAGCAGCCGGGCACAGCUGUCACUUGAACAUUCCACUAAAACAUGCAUCUUGCAAGGAUGAGGAAAAUAUAUUUGCGGGAACAUCCACUACACUCGCAAACGAUUGAGUCCACACUCAAAUUGUAAAAGAAAAAAAUGACUUACAAAUAUAUCCAUAUGACACCUUGUAACCUUUUCAGCAUGAUCAUUGCUGUGCAAUAUGUAAUAUAGGCUCAUCAUAUAGAGUUUUAUUUAUACCAGUUUCAUAGGGAAAAAUGGAAUGAAAAAAAUCCUAAUUGCAAGAAUUUUCUUCGCUGCUGAAAAGCUUUCCAAACUAGUUCAUUUCAAACGCGAGUGCUGUUCAGGAUUGUUCGUUUUUUUAUAUUAUUUAUUUUUCUUUAAUUGUAGCUGCUUUCCUUGAUACUUAUUUCGUGAUAUUGGUAUAGUUGAUUGCAAAGCAUUGUCUGAUAUCACUUUCUGUUUUUGUCUGCCUUGUUGAUUUUUAUUGUCCAGCUUGUUUUUACGGAGUUAUUGUUCAGCUUAGGGUUCUCACUGCUAUUUUAUUCAUUUUGUAUUUGUUUCUUGUACUUUUUAUUUCCACAUUAUUUAGUUGGAUAUUAUUAGGUCUAUGCUCAUUCAUCAAUGUUAUGCAAUGCAUUUGAACGGUUUCCUUUACAGCUAUUAAAUAAUUGUUCAUGCUCCAGUAUUGUAUUAUGCAUUAUUUAAUAUAUUUGUUUGCUAUAUUUAUGUAGUAUUUCUAUAUUAUGGUGCUUUAUUCAUGGCUGAUAGCUCUUGCUUUUUUUUAUUUACAUUGUUUAACAGGAGGUUGCCUUGACAGUUUUACUAUGGAACCUCCUUCUUUACUUGCCACAACUGUUCACAUAUAAUCUGUAUAACAAAAUGAUAUAAUAAACCUGGAAACCUUCCUCGCACACCUUC